RNAcentral lists this ribosomal RNA (311 nucleotides) under uncultured Succinivibrionaceae bacterium. Its description in RNAcentral is "partial 16S ribosomal RNA". Lineage: Bacteria; Pseudomonadati; Pseudomonadota; Gammaproteobacteria; Aeromonadales; Succinivibrionaceae. The record is from RNAcentral.
GGAGUUUGGGCCGUGUCUCAGUCCCAAUGUGGCUGAUCAUCCUCUCAGACCAGCUAGAGAUCGUCGCCUUGGUGAGCCUUUACCUCCCCAACUAGCUAAUCCCUCCUGGGCACAUCUAUAAGCGCAUGGUUUCCCAUCCUUUUCCCCUCAGGGUUUAUGCGGUAUUAGCACCCGUUUCCAGGUGUUAUCCCCCUCUUAUAGGCAGUUUCCCAGGUAUUACUCACCCGUCCGCCACUCGUCAGCCAGAAAAGCAAGCUUUCCUGCUGCUACCGUUCGACUUGCAUGUAUUAAGCCUGCCGCCAGCGUUCAAU